GUGUCUAUAGCUCAGUUGGUAGAGCACUUGACUUUUAAUCAAGAUGUUCCUGGUUCGAUUCCUGGUAGACACA
Molecule: transfer RNA, 73 nt
Filed under: Schaedlerella arabinosiphila
Lineage: Bacteria; Bacillati; Bacillota; Clostridia; Lachnospirales; Lachnospiraceae
Description: tRNA-Lys
Rfam family: tRNA
About the family: Transfer RNA (tRNA) molecules are approximately 80 nucleotides in length. Their secondary structure includes four short double-helical elements and three loops (D, anti-codon, and T loops).
Source: RNAcentral